Molecule: ribosomal RNA, 567 nt
Filed under: uncultured archaeon
Lineage: Archaea
Description: bacterial SSU rRNA
Rfam family: Archaeal small subunit ribosomal RNA
Source: RNAcentral
CGCGAAUCGCCCUUCGGGGUGCAGCAGGCGCGAAAACUUUACAAUGCGGGAAACCGUGAUAAGGGGACACCGAGUGCCAGCAUCAUAUGCUGGCUGUCCGGGUGUGUAAAAUACACCUGUUAGCAAGGGCCGGGCAAGACCGGUGCCAGCCGCCGCGGUAACACCGGCGGCCCGAGUGGUGAUCGUGAUUAUUGGGUCUAAAGGGUCCGUAGCCGGUUUGGUCAGUCCUCCGGGAAAUCUGAUAGCUCAACUAUUAGGCUUUCGGGGGAUACUGCCAGACUUGGAACCGGGAGAGGUAAGAGGUACUACAGGGGUAGGAGUGAAAUCUUGUUAUCCCUGUGGGACCACCUGUGGCGAAGGCGUCUUACCAGAACGGGUUCGACGGUGAGGGACGAAAGCUGGGGGCACGAACCGGAUUAGAUACCCGGGUAGUCCCAGCCGUAAACGAUGCUCGCUAGGUGUCAGGCAUGGCGCGACCGUGUCUGGUGCCGCAGGGAAGCCGUGAAGCGAGCCACCUGGGAAGUACGGCCGCGAGGCUGAAACUUAAAGGAAUUGGCGGGGGAGCAC